GGCAGCUACACAUGCAGUCGAACGGUAACAGGAAGCAGCUUGCUGCUUCGCUGACGAGUGGCGGACGGGUGAGUAAUGUCUGGGAAACUGCCUGAUGGAGGGGGAUAACUACUGGAAACGGUAGCUAAUACCGCAUAACGUCGCAAGACCAAAGAGGGGGACCUUCGGGCCUCUUGCCAUCGGAUGUGCCCAGAUGGGAUUAGCUAGUAGGUGGGGUAACGGCUCACCUAGGCGACGAUCCCUAGCUGGUCUGAGAGGAUGACCAGCCACACUGGAACUGAGACACGGUCCAGACUCCUACGGGAGGCAGCAGUGGGGAAUAUUGCACAAUGGGCGCAAGCCUGAUGCAGCCAUGCCGCGUGUAUGAAGAAGGCCUUCGGGUUGUAAAGUACUUUCAGCGGGGAGGAAGGUGUUGAGGUUAAUAACCUCGGCAAUUGACGUUACCCGCAGAAGAAGCACCGGCUAACUCCGUGCCAGCAGCCGCGGUAAUACGGAGGGUGCAAGCGUUAAUCGGAAUUACUGGGCGUAAAGCGCACGCAGGCGGUCUGUCAAGUCGGAUGUGAAAUCCCCGGGCUCAACCUGGGAACUGCAUUCGAAACUGGCAGGCUAGAGUCUUGUAGAGGGGGGUAGAAUUCCAGGUGUAGCGGUGAAAUGCGUAGAGAUCUGGAGGAAUACCGGUGGCGAAGGCGGCCCCCUGGACAAAGACUGACGCUCAAGUGCGAAAGCGUGCGGAGCAAACAGGAUUAGAUACCCUGGUAGUCCACGCCGCAAACGAUGUCGACUUG
Molecule: ribosomal RNA, 785 nt
Filed under: Enterobacter cloacae
Lineage: Bacteria; Pseudomonadati; Pseudomonadota; Gammaproteobacteria; Enterobacterales; Enterobacteriaceae
Description: bacterial SSU rRNA
Rfam family: Bacterial small subunit ribosomal RNA
Source: RNAcentral